This is a long non-coding RNA of Capra hircus (goat), 768 nucleotides long. RefSeq lists it as uncharacterized. Lineage: Eukaryota; Metazoa; Chordata; Mammalia; Artiodactyla; Bovidae. The transcript has 4 exons. The record is from RefSeq and is a predicted model, not a curated record.
UCUGCACACGGCUCCCCCACGCCAUCUUGAACAGAGUGUUGGGGGCGGAGCCUUUGCCGUCGUCGCCAUCAUUUUGCACCAGGCAUCCUGUUGGGAAGAGCUGAAGGGAAACCUUUGCACCAGGUGCCUUGGGAACUAGGGAGCUAGACUCAGCGCAGUGAAAACAAGCAAGAGAAGAUGGAAAUAAUUAGGACUUAAUUUGGAUGCCAGAGUUCCAGAUUUCAGAUUGGAACAUCAUGCCUGUCCUUCAGUAUGAACACCUGGAAGAGUGCAUCAGAUGGGUUAACUUCUGAAAGAAUGAGGAGCUGAAAUCUUAAGCGGACGAGAGGAUGCCUUUGGAUAAACCCCUGCCCUGGGUGCCCAUCUUGUCACGUUGUAGGAAGCUGGUCACUGCCACCGUCUCUCAGAAACCACAGCAGCGUCCUCAAGGAAAGAGCUUUCCAGAUCUGAGGGAGUGGACCAGUGAUGCAGUCACGUAGCCUGGCUUCAUUCUGAAUUCUUCUCCAUGGCUGUGUUCACCGAAGGACUUAAUCCUUAGGCAGCUCUUCCAAAUCUCAUACAGUUCUGCGACUUUUAUCUGAACUCUACCCUGAAUAUUCUAAUCAUGUAAAAUGUUUUCAAACCACUGUAGCACAGAAAUUAGUAAUGACCAGAUAUGUUUGCAGAAAUCCAUGCUUUGUGUAUUGUAAAAGGUCUGCAUGAAUGCUUGCUCUCCUCCCACAUGCUAAUAAACAUGAUCUGUGUACGGUUUUGAUCAUUUUUAAAUUC